AUAAUGAUACUUCUGUGCAAAACGCGCGGCCGGCGGGCAUCCCGGCGGAGGUGAGAUUCCUAUGA
RNAcentral lists this non-coding RNA (65 nucleotides) under unclassified sequences. RNAcentral's name for it is "pemK RNA". It matches the Rfam family "pemK RNA". The record is from RNAcentral.